ACCCUUUUUAGACACGCCUUCGUAAACGUACUGCACUAUAAACGUGACCGACGGCAAUUUUCAUCCAGUGCAGCAGAUUUAGGGUAUCACUCACUAUUAUACCAACCUACUCAGCAUCCAGUUGAUACAAAUUACUUUUGAGGCCGUGUUUGAACUAAUUAGUGCGUCAUACUGAACCAGAGCUUAUGACAGACGGGUACAUUUCAGAAAUGUCUGUUUCUACUGGAACGGAAAAGAUGUUAACCACGCAGCGAAAGAGCUCAAAACCGUUGAUGGAAAAGAAACGAAGAGCAAGGAUUAACAGGUGUCUAACAGAAUUGGAGUUCCUUAUUCUUGAUGCUAGGAAGAACGAAACGGAAUCGCCCGAACGAAACUAGAGAAAGCUUGACAUCUUGAAAUGGCGUCAUGCAGAUG
Molecule: long non-coding RNA, 414 nt
Organism: Priapulus caudatus
Lineage: Eukaryota; Metazoa; Priapulida; Priapulimorpha; Priapulimorphida; Priapulidae
Exons: 3
Source: RefSeq, a predicted model, not a curated record